AGGUAAGCUACUAAGAGCGAAUGGUGGAUGCCUUGACUGGUAAAGGCGAUGAAGGACGUACUAGACUGCGAUAAGCUACGGGGAGCUGUCAAGAAGCUUUGAUCCGUAGAUUUCCGAAUGGGGCAACCCAAUGUAUAGAGAUAUACAUUACCUAUAUAGGAGCGAACGAGGGGAAUUGAAACAUCUUAGUACCCUCAGGAAAAGAAAUCAAUAGAGAUUGCGUCAGUAGCGGCGAGCGAAAGCGCAAGAGGGCAAACCCAGUGCUUGCACUGGGGGUUGUAGGACUGCAAUGUGCAAGAGGUGAGUUUAGCAGAACAUUCUGGAAAGUAUAACCAUAGAGGGUGAUAGUCCCGUAUGCGAAAAACAAACCUUAGCUAGCAGUAUCCUGAGUAGGGCGGGACACGAGGAAUCCUGUCUGAAUCCGGGUCGACCACGAUCCAACCCUAAAUACUAAUACCAGAUCGAUAGUGCACAAGUACCGUGAGGGAAAGGUGAAAAGAACUGAGGUGAUCAGAGUGAAAUAGAACCUGAAACCAUUUGCUUACAAUCAUUCAGAGCCCUAUGUAGCAAUACAGGGUGAUGGACUGCCUUUUGCAUAAUGAGCCUGCGAGUUGUGGUGUCUGGCAAGGUUAAGCAAACGCGAAGCCGUAGCGAAAGCGAGUCUGAAUAGGGCGCUUAGUCAGAUGCUGCAGACCCGAAACGAAGUGAUCUAUCCAUGAGCAAGUUGAAGCUAGUGUAAGAACUAGUGGAGGACUGAACCCAUAGGCGUUGAAAAGCCCCGGGAUGACUUGUGGAUAGGGGUGAAAGGCCAAUCAAACUUCGUGAUAGCUGGUUCUCUCCGAAAUAUAUUUAGGUAUAGCGUUGUGUCGUAAUAUAAGGGGGUAGAGCACUGAAUGGGCUAGGGCAUACACCAAUGUACCAAACCCUAUCAAACUCCGAAUACCUUAUAUGUAAUCACAGCAGUCAGGCGGCGAGUGAUAAAAUCCGUCGUCAAGAGGGAAACAACCCAGACUACCAGCUAAGGUCCCUAAAUCUUACUUAAGUGGAAAACGAUGUGAAGUUACUUAAACAACCAGGAGGUUGGCUUAGAAGCAGCCAUCCUUUAAAGAAAGCGUAAUAGCUCACUGGUCUAGUGAUUUUGCGCGGAAAAUAUAACGGGGCUAAAGUAAGUACCGAAGCUGUAGACUUAGUUUACUAAGUGGUAGGAGAGCGUUCUAUUUGCGUCGAAGGUAUACCGGUAAGGAGUGCUGGAGCGAAUAGAAGUGAGCAUGCAGGCAUGAGUAGCGAUAAUUAAUGUGAGAAUCAUUAACGCCGUAAACCCAAGGUUUCCUACGCGAUGCUCGUCAUCGUAGGGUUAGUCGGGUCCUAAGUCGAGUCCGAAAGGGGUAGACGAUGGCAAAUUGGUUAAUAUUCCAAUACCAACAUUAGUGUGCGAUGGAAGGACGCUUAGGGCUAAGGGGGCUAGCGGAUGGAAGUGCUAGUCUAAGGUCGUAGGAGGUUAUACAGGCAAAUCCGUAUAACAAUACUCCGAGAACUGAAAGGCUUUUUGAAGUCUUCGGAUGGAUAGAAGAACCCCUGAUGCCGUCGAGCCAAGAAAAGUUUCUAAGUUUAGCUAAUGUUGCCCGUACCGUAAACCGACACAGGUGGGUGGGAUGAGUAUUCUAAGGCGCGUGGAAGAACUCUCUUUAAGGAACUCUGCAAAAUAGCACCGUAUCUUCGGUAUAAGGUGUGGUUAGCUUUGUAUUAGGAUUUACUCCGAAAGCAAGGAAACUUACAACAAAGAGUCCCUCCCGACUGUUUACCAAAAACACAGCACUCUGCUAACUCGUAAGAGGAUGUAUAGGGUGUGACGCCUGCCCGGUGCUCGAAGGUUAAUUGAUGGGGUUAGCAUUAGCGAAGCUCUUGAUCGAAGCCCGAGUAAACGGCGGCCGUAACUAUAACGGUCCUAAGGUAGCGAAAUUCCUUGUCGGUUAAAUACCGACCUGCAUGAAUGGCGUAACGAGAUGGGAGCUGUCUCAAAGAGGGAUCCAGUGAAAUUGUAGUGGAGGUGAAAAUUCCUCCUACCCGCGGCAAGACGGAAAGACCCCGUGGACCUUUACUACAGCUUGACACUGCUACUUGGAUAAGAAUGUGCAGGAUAGGUGGGAGGCUUUGAGUAUAUGACGCCAGUUGUAUAUGAGCCAUUGUUGAGAUACCACUCUUUCUUAUUUGGGUAGCUAACCAGCUUGAGUUAUCCUCAAGUGGGACAAUGUCUGGUGGGUAGUUUGACUGGGGCGGUCGCCUCCCAAAUAAUAACGGAGGCUUACAAAGGUUGGCUCAGAACGGUUGGAAAUCGUUCGUAGAGUA
Molecule: ribosomal RNA, 2346 nt
Filed under: Campylobacter jejuni
Lineage: Bacteria; Pseudomonadati; Campylobacterota; Epsilonproteobacteria; Campylobacterales; Campylobacteraceae
Description: partial 23S ribosomal RNA
Rfam family: Bacterial large subunit ribosomal RNA
Source: RNAcentral